AAGUAUUCAAUGCAAAUUAGCAAUAAACAGUAUAUAUUUCCAGCAUAGAGCCGAAUUGAACACGUUUGUAUCAACACAUUCGAGUGCCUUCCUCGUAACAUUUACUUCAGAAAACUUCUGAAAGUACUCUCGCUGUUUGCUCUAGACGACAAAAGAAAACAAAAACAAAAUGAAGGGAGUGUUUCUUGUCCUCACUCUUCUGAUACUGGUGUCUGUGACUGAUGGGGCUAAAACCUCCUGUCCACAUAACUGCGCAACUACUUUUGUCGAGUGCACCUACAAUGAUAAGCGAUGUGACAACUUCGAUAACUGUCAAACAAGGUGCUUUAAUCCCUACAACAUGUGCAAGGCGAACUGUAAAAAGAGGAGAGAAUUGUUGUCAAGGUUUGCCCUCGAAGAUGAUGAUGCGGACGCUUUCUUCCGUUAAAAGGAAAAAUAUCGAGAUGACAGAAUUAAUUUUAAAUCCGUAUUUCACCCCUGCAGAGCGUUUGAAUUUUCCCUUUCCGGUAUUCAUUUCUGUAUAAAUUUAACCUACGGGCACUUAAAAGAAAACAAUGAGCAAAAGCAGUGACAAGCUUUCAUAUCUCUUGUAAUUAGAAGUUUCUGUAGAAAUUAUCUCUACUAGUAAUUGUGUUGGUGCGAGCUGAUAUGCGGUCAUCUCGUGCCGGCUACAGAGGGAGGUUACCCUUAAUAACUUGUAUUAUUUGCCCCUAAUCUACAAAAAUAUCAAGCAUGACAAAAGUUUGCCAAAACCAAAUAAAAGUUAUGUUAUCUGA
Pocillopora verrucosa is the source of this 776-nucleotide long non-coding RNA. RefSeq lists it as uncharacterized. The record is from RefSeq and is a predicted model, not a curated record. Lineage: Eukaryota; Metazoa; Cnidaria; Anthozoa; Scleractinia; Pocilloporidae.